AAAAAGUUAGAGGUGCCAAUAAUUGGAUAAUAUAGAUGGAAUUUACUAUAAUAAUACCCUUCUAAAAUUAGGAAGGGUAUAUCAUUUAGUUCAGUCAUCUAUGACAUGUGAACUUAAUGUUCUGUUUGUAAAUUUUCAAAAUUAUAGUAAUGUUCUUAAAGCUCAUAUGAGAGUAAGAUUUCCUCUCACAUUCAUUCUCAUGUAUACCUUUUAAAUGUUUCAUUUAGAUGUUUCCAUUACAAUUUUAAAUUACACUUAUAUUCAACCAUGUGCUCUGUGAUGAACUAAGUAUUUACAGAACUAAGUAUUUGAAUGUUUGUUUUGUAUUGUACCAUCUAUACUCUAACUUAUGCCUAAAAUAUUAGUCAUCAUGGAUUACAUAUUACAAUGACUUUAUUGCUAUAAUGGAUUUAAAGGUAUUUUAUAUUUUCAUGGUGUGUAAGCAUGAAUCUGUGUGAUGUUGAUUAUUCUCUAUAUUUAAUUUGUGCCUUUGUGCGAUUUCUAACAAGGAAUAACAAUGUGUUGUUCACCAGUGAUGCAUUAAACAGAAUGUGCGGCUAUAUAACAUUGUUAGGAACAUACUGAUGGCGGUGCAUCUCUUGCAGUUCCAUCGUUGUAACCAUGGCCAAUUUAUGCACCCGAAACUCAACUUUCAAUGCUGAGAGUGGCAGCGGUACUGCAACCCUACAACCCUCCUUCACAACACUUUGGCUUUUGAGAAUAUCACCAUUUUGAAAGUCGNNNNNNNNNNNNNNNNNNNNNNNNNNNNNNNNNNNNNUCCUGACUUCCUGUGAUGUAUCCCAAGUAAUCUACUUUCUCUUUCCCUCUAAUAUCUUUUCUUCUGAAUUUCUUACAGAAAUUUGUUUUAACGGUUAUUUUCAAUGUAUACC
RNAcentral lists this long non-coding RNA (890 nucleotides) under Trifolium pratense (red clover). RNAcentral describes it as "long non-coding RNA (TPRA_LNC012835)". Lineage: Eukaryota; Viridiplantae; Streptophyta; Magnoliopsida; Fabales; Fabaceae. The record is from RNAcentral.